CUGGAAAAUAAUAAAAACUAGUUUUCAAACUGCGUGGGAACUUUGUCACACAUUUAAGGUUAAAGAAACCCGUGGGUUUCUGCGUGUACAGAACCGUUCAUGUAUCCGGCAGAAUCUUUGUCAGAACCGAGCUUCAACCCAUCUGCGGAACAAACGGCUGACGUCCACGUUUUGCUCCAGCGUCCGUGAUCCCAUUCAUUCCAACAUCAACAGUUUGAUUCAGAACAACUGUUCUAAACGACCUGGAGAAAUUCCUGAUGUGUCUUCCGAAUCAAACGAGAUCUUCGACGUGAGUUACCGGAAAACAAGUCCAACAAUCACUAAUUUCCCAAACCGCUCCAAUUAAACCGUCGGUUUGCAUCCGCGACGCUAACUUCGUGUGAAGCUAACUGUCAGAGUUUGGACCCCGUCCUCAGCUUCUGUUUCCUACUCGGAACCGUCGCCAACGUUCCCUUCACCGUGUCUGUGUUGAGCGGUGGAUAAACAUGCUCUUUAGCUCUGAAUUUAAGAGAGAAAUACCACCCAGUCUUCCAGAGUACGAACCAGAACCAACAGCAUCCCAGACCUCUCUGGACAGACAGAACAUCUGUUGAGGCUAAAGCUGAAGAUCCCUUCAGAUCAGAGACCAGGAGCAGAAACCCAAGUUGAUUUGGAGAAAGUCAGCGACCUCCUGACCCAGCAGCAGAGGUGGACAAGAUCGCUCCGACUCCCAGGAGGAGGAUGGGUCUCUGUGCGAAAAAUCGUCAUCUUCCAAUCUGAAAGUUGCUGCUUCAGUUUCAUGUUCCUCCCCCAUCAUGUUGAUGUGCCUUUGAGCAAAGUAGUUUUACCCCAUGUUGCCUACCAGCCCAUGUUGGUGUAUUAAUGUUCAUGUUAAAAACAUUUCACCUUGUAUGUCAUGUUUUUACUGUCCAAAAACAUUUGAGCCUGAUCAAAAAAUACAACUUAUUUAAAAAGAGAUUUUUGAUGGAGAUAAUCAUUGCUACAUUUAAUGAUCCACCAUUUAUGAAGCAUUCUCAGCUCCUACAUACAGGUGCGCCACAUGCAUCAUGUUCAAGCUUUUGUGAGACAUUAUCUUUCUCUACAAAAUGUUUUCCUCUUUAAAAAUAGCUGCACCAGGGUUUUAUUUUUAUUUUUUACUCCUGAACACCU
Molecule: long non-coding RNA, 1149 nt
Organism: Girardinichthys multiradiatus
Lineage: Eukaryota; Metazoa; Chordata; Actinopteri; Cyprinodontiformes; Goodeidae
Exons: 3
Source: RefSeq, a predicted model, not a curated record